Long non-coding RNA from Camelina sativa (false flax), 754 nucleotides. RefSeq lists it as uncharacterized. Lineage: Eukaryota; Viridiplantae; Streptophyta; Magnoliopsida; Brassicales; Brassicaceae. The record is from RefSeq and is a predicted model, not a curated record.
AAAAAUUGUGCCGAUAAAUUAAAAGAAAAAGGAAAGGGAAAGUUGUUUCUCAUCGACAAUCCGAUAAUCGAAUCGAUUUAUUAGACUAUUAACAAUUUAUCUUCAAAUUCUCUUCUUGAUUUGGCCGGCGGUUUCUGUGGCUCUUAGCUCUCCGACUCUUGUUGGUGGUUUACCGGAGCGUCAUCGCUGUGUGGUGGCAGGGAGAAUCUGGGCGGUUUGUUGCGACUUCUUUCUUUGGUUUGGUUUGUGGCUCUGAAGGGUCGGUAGUUGUGCCAGAGCUUUCCUCUUUUAGGGCUUGCUUCGGAGAUCUUGUUACCUGGGGGUGCAUCGCCUUAUUUCCAGAUCUCCUCUUCCUCCAGGAGGUUUUGGUGUGGACCCAAUUAGGAAAAAAGAUUUGAUUAUUGGAUAAGUUUUAUAUGGUUCUCCGCGUAAUCCAAGUUUAAGAAGAAGAGAGUGUUUGGAUACAUCUAUUAUAUAUCGAAGAUCCGAAUGAGAUUGUGUCCAAACAGAGAGGCUCCGCGUCUUUUUACAAUUUUAAUUACCUUAUUGCUCUUAAAUUUUUUUUUUUUACUCUUCUUCCUUUAUUCUUGCGUAGGGACAAUAUAUGAAAUUUUUGCCAAAGUUUUUUUUUUUUUUUCCUGCUUUUGAAUUCCCCAGAUGCUGUGCUCCAUUUUAUUGUAAGUACGUAAUACGUUUAAUGACUAUAUAAUAUAUUCAUAAUAAUUUAAUAAAAGACAGCAGACAAGAUUUGAAA